UGGAAAUUUCAAAAGGCAAGAAAUGUUUUGCCAUACUUAUGAUAAUAUAUGUGGUGUCCCAUACAUCCCAUUACCUAUAUGGUCGAUGACUAAUAAUAUCUAGGAGGCAUCAUUUACACCACAUCUUAACUUCCAAGGAGCAUUAUACUUGUGGCAACUUUGAAGAAGAAAUAGAUAAGGCUAUGAGAACUUUAAUUCAAGACAUCUAUAUUUGCCUAGAAUGC
This 224-nucleotide long non-coding RNA is filed under the name Elaeis guineensis (African oil palm). Its description in RNAcentral is "long non-coding RNA (EGUI_LNC022981)". Lineage: Eukaryota; Viridiplantae; Streptophyta; Magnoliopsida; Arecales; Arecaceae. The record is from RNAcentral.